CAUAGAUCAAUAUAUGUUUAUUGUGUAAUAUGAUAUAGUAGAUGGUGAUUACAUGAGUGAAUAGAAAGAAAUUCUAAAAAAUUGAAGUUGGAAGUCUUUGAAUAAGGUGAUAGCGUCCCUUGAAUGAUACAUAUAAUGAUUUGAUUGGAAGUGUAAUAAAAAGUGGGGACUUAACCCAACGACUUGUGCAUUAGCAACACCACAACUGCUAGUCGAUGAAGAUGAAGAUUGUGAUGAUGGUAAUGAACAACGUAUUGGAUCAUUGAUAAUAUAAUUGAAGGGUUUUAAGAAACUAAUUCAAGAAUCUCAAGAAAGGAUUUCUUGAUCGUUCUUCUUCAAGUUAGGAUUCUUCGUCAAGAUUUAUGGAGCAUUUAAGGUAUGUGAAGCUAAUCCUUCAGUGUGGGAACCCCGUUCUCCCCACAAGCAAGCCAUUAUGUUUGUUUAAGGUCAUGAAUCAUGUUAGGAUUUUAUGAGUUGAAAUUUUUGAGAUUAAUUCUUGAUCUCUUGAUGAUAUUCUUCGAACGUCCUAUGAUUUUUAGUAAGAAUUUCAUGAGUCUGGUGUCUUUUUCUUGAAUUGAUUUCUAAUACAUGUCAAUGAUUUUUCAAGCAAAGUUUACUAGUUUUCUUAAAGUUAUUGAGAAAUCUAUUUCAUGAUUCACUAGAAUAUUCAUGAUUGUUAUAAGUUUCAAGAUUUUCAAGAAAGUAUUAUUAUCUUUGAUUUCAAGUGCAUUAUUUCAUGAAAGAAUUCAAGAUAUUAUGUUUUGCCUCAAGUACAUAUUUUCAGAAAGAAAGCAUAAUUAGAUUUUCAAAAAGUUGACCUUUUGGUCUCGGAUUAGAUAAGAACAUACAAAAAAAAGGCUAAUUUCAUUAUAUUCAGGGCUAAGAGCCACAUAUAUCAAUAGUUUUAUAACUAAUCUAUUAAGUAUAUGAUUCAUGAUUAGUAUGACAAUCGGAUAUGUCAUCAAUGCUUAAGCAAUGUGACAUCUAGAUAUGCCAUCAAUGUUUAUGCAUUAUGACUUUUCAAUUUGUCAUCAAUGAUCAUAUCUCAGCAUGUUUCAGAUAGUUAUGAGCUUAGUCUCACAUACAGUACAAAUUUACAGAUUUGAGCAAAGACUCAUAGUAUAUUUUCAGUUAUAAUUUUCAUGAUAUAUAUUAUGAGCAUAUAUAGACUAUUUUGGGAGGAUUCUUUAGCAUCGAGAGGACGCGGGCUUAGAUAACUCAAGUCCCAGAACUAUGUUGCCACUGUGGAAUAAGGGUUUUUCACCAGUUGAUGUUGACACCUUUAGCCCUUUGAGGCUCAGUUAAUGAAUCCACAUUAGAUAAAUAGGUUCUAUACCCUGAUAAAGAUAUAGGGCAAUCCUCCCAACUAGGUUAGCUGUUGGACUCCAUGUUGCUCACAUGGUUUAUGUCGGUUGUAAGAAAAUUCCCAAGAAAAUUAAAACUAUAUUAUUUUUAGUA
This is a long non-coding RNA of Solanum dulcamara, 1458 nucleotides long. RefSeq lists it as uncharacterized. The transcript has 2 exons. NCBI's taxonomy places the organism in Eukaryota, Viridiplantae, Streptophyta, Magnoliopsida, Solanales, Solanaceae. The record is from RefSeq and is a predicted model, not a curated record.